GGAUUUUGUGAUUUUAUGAUGUUUUUCCUUUUUGAUACAUUUUCCUUUUUAAUGUUUCAUUUACUCAGCUCUCCUUAUAAUGCUCCAUUUACUCAUUUACUCAUAUGCUCCUGUUAAGAAAGGCUUGGAAAGCACAUAGUGUUCACAUAUCUUUAUGUUUUGUCUUUUGCUUCUUCUCACACACAUACACAUGAGCCCCGCAGUAUUCGCUGACUCCUGUGAAAGUCUCUUGCAGACACCCUUGGAAACAGGACCCAACUGGCUUCUGUUUUCCUCGAGAUAGACACUACACACACACACACACAUAUACACUGUGUCCCAUACAUGCCCAGAUUGUCUGUUACAGCCUGACAAAACAGGGAAUGCUACGAUGUAUAAAUAAAGCUGACUACAAAGCCUCGGGACGGAGCCACCAGAUCCUGACGUCGUGACUACCUGCACUGCAACCACCGUUUCUAGCGAAGCGAGGAAAAGCCCAGAGUCGUACAUUCGCCUACUGGCCAGUGUCUUAUACAGGUCCACGACGCCGGGUUCUCGGUGACGCCGGGAAAAAGAACACAGCGCAACAUUGAAGGUGAAUAUAAAGCAGCCAGAAACACUUUGCGUUGAAUAAUCGAUUUUGGUUUGACACUGCUCAAAGUAGAAGGGUCCUGUGUGGACCGAAAAGGAAAAGGACAGACGUGUCCUAUGUAAUAUGCUCGCCCGGGUAAGACGAAACAACCUGCCCUGUGGGGGCCUGUUUCGCACCAUAAGUAAGGGUUGGUAGCCAGUAUAUCUCACGCUCGCCUGUGUAAGACGGAUUAACACGCCCUGAGAGGCUCAAUCCGCAACAAAAAUAAAGGUUGGUAGCCAGAGAAGCGAGAGUGUCAAAUAAAAAUAGGAUUUUCUCUAAGCGCGCUAACUGUUUGCUGAAUGUUUGUUGAGGAGUAAGUGCUUCAUUGAAUAGGAGCUCUAGGCUCCUGCACUACUCCUAUUGUUUUCCUGUGAGUACUGGAUGGUGAGAAAGAGAAAAGGUUGCGCGUCAACGCGUAAAAUUAAGUCCGCCCUGAA
Oreochromis niloticus (Nile tilapia) is the source of this 1050-nucleotide long non-coding RNA. RefSeq lists it as uncharacterized. The transcript is spliced from 2 exons. The record is from RefSeq and is a predicted model, not a curated record. NCBI's taxonomy places the organism in Eukaryota, Metazoa, Chordata, Actinopteri, Cichliformes, Cichlidae.